AUGGCGGAAGAAGCAGCUGCCAAUGUUAAGGAGGAGGAGGAGUUCAGCACCGGCCCCCUGUCCCUGCUCCUGAUGAGCGUCAAGAACAAUACUCAGGUGCUUAUCAACUGCCGGAACAACAAGAAGCUACUUGGUCGUGUGAGGGCAUUUGACCGUCACUGCAACAUGGUUCUUGAGAAUGUUCGGGAGAUGUGGACUGAGGUUCCAAAGACUGGCAAAGGCAAGAAGAAGGCCCUUCCAGUGAACAAGGACAGGUUCAUCAGCAAGAUGUUCCUCCGCGGCGACUCGGUCAUCAUUGUUCUAAGGAACCCGAAAUGA
This 318-nucleotide ribosomal RNA is filed under the name Triticum aestivum (bread wheat). Its description in RNAcentral is "partial small subunit ribosomal RNA". Lineage: Eukaryota; Viridiplantae; Streptophyta; Magnoliopsida; Poales; Poaceae. The record is from RNAcentral.